This 233-nucleotide ribosomal RNA is filed under the name uncultured bacterium. RNAcentral describes it as "partial 16S ribosomal RNA". It matches the Rfam family "Bacterial small subunit ribosomal RNA", at positions 122 to 354 of the family's 1533-position model. The record is from RNAcentral.
CAAUCUGCCUUGGAGUGGGGAAUAACGGUUGGAAACAGCCGCUAAUACCGCAUGAUGCGUCUGGGAGGCAUCUCUCUGGACGCCAAAGAUUUAUCGCUCUGAGAUGAGCUCGCGUCUGAUUAGCUAGUUGGCGGGGCAACGGCCCACCAAGGCGACGAUCAGUAGCCGGACUGAGAGGUUGGCCGGCCACAUUGGGACUGAGACACGGCCCAGACUCCUACGGGAGGCAGCAG